GAUGAACGCUGGCGGCGUGCCUAAUACAUGCAAGUCGAGCGAACAGACGAGGAGCUUGCUCCUCUGACGUUAGCGGCGGACGGGUGAGUAACACGUGGAUAACCUACCUAUAAGACUGGGAUAACUUCGGGAAACCGGAGCUAAUACCGGAUAAUAUAUUGAACCGCAUGGUUCAAUAGUGAAAGACGGUUUUGCUGUCACUUAUAGAUGGUUCCGCGCCGCAUUAGCUAGUUGGUAAGGUAACGGCUUACCAAGGCAACGAUGCGUAGCCGACCUGAGAGGAUGAUCAGCCACACUGGAACUGAGACACGGUCCAGACUCCUACGGGAGGCAGCAGUAGGGAAUCUUCCGCAAUGGGCGAAAGCCUGACGGAGCAACGCCGCGUGAGUGAUGAAGGUCUUCGGAUCGUAAAACUCUGUUAUUAGGGAAGAACAGAUGUGUAAGUAACUAUGCACGUCUUGACGGUACCUAAUCAGAAAGCCACGGCUAACUACGUG
Molecule: ribosomal RNA, 497 nt
Filed under: uncultured bacterium
Lineage: Bacteria
Description: partial 16S ribosomal RNA
Rfam family: Bacterial small subunit ribosomal RNA
Source: RNAcentral